AACGCACGAGACCUGCGGACCUGCGGAGGGAUCAUUAAUGAGAAGCUGCCCCUCGUGGGUAGACCUCCCACCCUCUGUGAACUUACCUUUGUUGCUUUGACAGGCCCGUCCUCUGGACCGCCGGCUUCGGCUGGCCCGUGCCUGCCAGAGGAUUCCAAACCCUGUCUGUCAGUGUUGUCUGAGUCUAUAUGAAAUCGUUAAAACUUUCAGCAACGGAUCUCUAGAUCGGAAGAGCACACG
RNAcentral lists this unclassified non-coding RNA (240 nucleotides) under soil metagenome. RNAcentral describes it as "partial contains 5.8S ribosomal RNA, internal transcribed spacer 2, and large subunit ribosomal RNA". The record is from RNAcentral.